RNAcentral lists this ribosomal RNA (560 nucleotides) under Saccoglossus pusillus. Its description in RNAcentral is "partial 16S large subunit ribosomal RNA". It matches the Rfam family "Bacterial large subunit ribosomal RNA", at positions 1845 to 2615 of the family's 2925-position model. Lineage: Eukaryota; Metazoa; Hemichordata; Enteropneusta; Harrimaniidae. The record is from RNAcentral.
AUGGGGGGUACUGCCUGCCCAGUGAAUAAUAAUUUUAACGGCCGCGGUAUCCUGACCGUGCAAAGGUAGCACAAUCACUAGUCUCCUAAAUAGGGACCAGUAUCAAUGGCAAGACGAGGGCUCAACUGUCUCCCUUCUUAAAAACUAAACUUCUCUAGCCGUGCAAAAGCGGCCAUAAAAACGUUAGACGAGAAGACCCUAUCGAGCUUUAGAGAGAAAAACAAAGAUUGGAGCUAAACGCCGCCCUAUACAACGCCCUGCCCUCUUUCCCUUUUCCUUAUACACUCUCUUUGGUUGGGGCAACCACGGAGCACAACUAACCUCCGAAUUAACCUUUCCCAAGAUCCUAAAUCAUAAAUUACGACCCCUAAAAUCCAUGACCCAGAAAAUUCUGAGCAUUAAAUAAGUUACCGUAGGGAUAACAGCGUAAUCCCUUCCAAGAGUCCACAUUGCCGAAGGGGUUUGCGACCUCGAUGUUGGAUCGGGUUAUCCUGAUGGUGCAGCCGCUAUCAAGGGUUGGUCUGUUCGACCAUUAAAAACCUACGUGAUCUGAGUUCAAA